AAAUGGACCAGUUUUGUUAUUUGUUAUGAAAAGAGAUCAUUAUUGUUCACGGAUAUUGAGGUUGUGAUAAAUUUUUUAGCUCCAGCAUAGUCUCUAGGGUUCUACCUUAUGAAGUGUGCGGCCGUGUCACGCGCCUGGGCUUGGGUGUUGGGUUCGAGGUGUGACAAUAGCAUGUGCCAGAGCAGUUGACAUCCAUAUCGUGUAUCAAUUGAAUGUGUUUAACCCAAUUGUAGUGUAUUUCUUUGAUCUUUCUUUCCUUCCUCAUACAAAUUCAAGGAGGCAAAUUUCUUGACUUCAAACAAAAUUACAAGUUGCUUUCCCUGCUUCCACUUAAACAGAUUACGCCAAUUAUAGAUUCGGGAUGCUGCGAAAAUCACAGAGAGGCUGAAGUAAGGCUAGCUGGGCUACUCUCCUUAAACCAGUAAAGACCAAAAACAUUGUUAACAAUAUCACCAUCUUAAGCCCCAAGAUUUUCACAUUAGCCAGAAUGCUUAGGAA
Molecule: long non-coding RNA, 498 nt
Filed under: Phoenix dactylifera (date palm)
Lineage: Eukaryota; Viridiplantae; Streptophyta; Magnoliopsida; Arecales; Arecaceae
Description: long non-coding RNA (PDAC_LNC013208)
Source: RNAcentral